RNAcentral lists this ribosomal RNA (484 nucleotides) under uncultured bacterium. Its description in RNAcentral is "partial 16S ribosomal RNA". It matches the Rfam family "Bacterial small subunit ribosomal RNA", at positions 30 to 507 of the family's 1533-position model. The record is from RNAcentral.
AUUGAACGCUGGCGGCAGGCCUAACACAUGCAAGUCGAGCGGAUGAAGGGAGCUUGCUCCUGGAUUCAGCGGCGGACGGGUGAGUAAUGCCUAGGAAUCUGCCUGGUAGUGGGGGAUAACGUCCGGAAACGGGCGCUAAUACCGCAUACGUCCUGAGGGAGAAAGUGGGGGAUCUUCGGACCUCACGCUAUCAGAUGAGCCUAGGUCGGAUUGGCUAGUUGGUGGGGUAAAGGCCUACCAAGGCGACGAUCCGUAACUGGUCUGAGAGGAUGAUCAGUCACACUGGCACUGGGACGCGGUCCAGGCUCCUACGGGUGGCAGCAGUGGGGAAUAUUGGACCACUGGCGAGAGCCUGAUCCAGUCUUGCCGCGUGUGUGAAGAAAGUCUUCGUAUUCUAAAGCACUUUAAGUUGGGAGGAAGGGCAGUAAGUUAAUACCUUGCUGUUUUGACGUUCCCAACAGAAUAAGCGCCGGCUAACUUCGUG